CGAGUUACGAAGAGAACAGUUGAUG
RNAcentral lists this non-coding RNA (25 nucleotides) under Drosophila melanogaster (fruit fly). The record is from RNAcentral. Lineage: Eukaryota; Metazoa; Arthropoda; Insecta; Diptera; Drosophilidae.